UGGGGAAUUUUCCGCAAUGGGCGAAAGCCUAACGGAGCAAUGCCGCGUGGAGGUGGAAGGCCUACGGGUCGUCAACUUCUUUUCUCGGAGAAGAAACAAUGACGGUAUCUGAGGAAUAAGCAUCGGCUAACUCUGUGCUAG
RNAcentral lists this ribosomal RNA (141 nucleotides) under uncultured bacterium. Its description in RNAcentral is "partial 16S rRNA". It matches the Rfam family "Bacterial small subunit ribosomal RNA", at positions 355 to 511 of the family's 1533-position model. The record is from RNAcentral.